RNAcentral lists this ribosomal RNA (434 nucleotides) under uncultured Lachnospiraceae bacterium. RNAcentral describes it as "bacterial SSU rRNA". It matches the Rfam family "Bacterial small subunit ribosomal RNA", at positions 341 to 792 of the family's 1533-position model. The record is from RNAcentral. Lineage: Bacteria; Bacillati; Bacillota; Clostridia; Lachnospirales; Lachnospiraceae.
ACGGAAGGCAGCAGUGGGGAAUAUUGGACAAUGGGGGAAACCCUGAUGCAGCGACGCCGCGUGAGUGAAGAAGUAUUUCGGUAUGUAAAGCUCUUUAAGCAGGAAAGAUAGUGACGGUACCUGCAGAAUAAGCCCCGGCUAACUACGUGCCAGCAGCCGCGGUAAUACGUAGGGGGCAAGCGUUAUCCGGAUUUACUGGGUGUAAAGGGAGCGUAGACGGCAAUGCAAGUCUGAAGUGAAAUCCCGUGGCUUAACUGCGGAAUUGCUUUGGAAACUGUAUAGCUAGAGUGUCGGAGAGGUGAGUGGAAUUCCCAGUGUAGCGGUGAAAUGCGUAGAUAUUGGGAGGAACACCGGCGGCGAAGGCGGCUCACUGGACGAUAACUGACGUUGAUGCUCGAAAGCGUGGGGAGCAAACAGGAUUAGAUACCCUGGUA